GACGAACGCUGGCGGCGUGCUUAACACAUGCAAGUCGAACGGAAAGGCCCUGCUUUUGUGGGGUGCUCGAGUGGCGAACGGGUGAGUAACACGUGAGUAACCUGCCCUUGACUUUGGGAUAACUUCAGGAAACUGGGGCUAAUACCGGAUAGGAGCUCCUGAUGCAUGGGGGGGGUUGGAAAGUUUCGGCGGUGGGGGAUGGACUCGCGGCUUAUCAGCUUGUUGGUGGGGUAGUGGCUUACCAAGGCUUUGACGGGUAGCCGGCCUGAGAGGGUGACCGGCCACAUUGGGACUGAGAUACGGCCCAGACUCCUACGGGAGGCAGCAGUGGGGAAUAUUGCACAAUGGGCGGAAGCCUGAUGCAGCAACGCCGCGUGCGGGAUGACGGCCUUCGGGUUGUAAACCGCUUUCGCCUGUGACGAAGCGUGAGUGACGGUAAUGGGUAAAGAAGCACCGGCUAACUACGUG
Molecule: ribosomal RNA, 468 nt
Filed under: uncultured bacterium
Lineage: Bacteria
Description: partial 16S ribosomal RNA
Rfam family: Bacterial small subunit ribosomal RNA
Source: RNAcentral